UUUCAUAAGAAACACCUAUUUAUGAUAAACCCUGCCCACUGUUCCAUAAAAGGCUGCGGUAUCCUGACCGUACUAAGGUAGCAUAAUCAUUUGACUAUUAAUUGUAGUCUAGAAUGAAUGGGUAAACGAACUCUAUCCUGUGUCAGCAGAAUACCUAAAAAUUAACCUCUAAGUGAAAAGGCUUAGAUAGAGAAGAAGGACAAGAAGACCCUAUAGAUCUUCCUCAUAACUGAAACCACGACAUCACCUACUGAGUUUGGAUGGGGCGUCCUGAGAAUAAACCACUACUUAACAACUCACCUGACCUACGAGCAACAACUCACCACCCUUAACCCUAGCUAACACUAGAUAAAGACAACCAAAAGUUACCUUAGGGAUAACAGGCUAAUUCUUCUCCAGAGUCCAUAUUUACAGAAGAGAUUGGCACCUCGAUGUUGGCUUAGGAUUAAAUCCUGACGCAGCAGUCAGAAUUCCACAGUUUGUUCGAACUGAUAAUAUCCU
RNAcentral lists this ribosomal RNA (501 nucleotides) under Heterodrilus koreanus. RNAcentral's name for it is "Heterodrilus sp. n. JL-2020 partial large subunit ribosomal RNA". It matches the Rfam family "Bacterial large subunit ribosomal RNA", at positions 1829 to 2597 of the family's 2925-position model. Lineage: Eukaryota; Metazoa; Annelida; Clitellata; Tubificida; Naididae. The record is from RNAcentral.